RNAcentral lists this long non-coding RNA (411 nucleotides) under Ananas comosus (pineapple). RNAcentral describes it as "long non-coding RNA (ACOM_LNC042278)". The record is from RNAcentral. Lineage: Eukaryota; Viridiplantae; Streptophyta; Magnoliopsida; Poales; Bromeliaceae.
ACUGACAGAUCGAAUCUAGGCCGUUCGAUUCACCUUGAUGAAUGAAUGGAAAGGUAGUUACAGCAAAGCAUGACACAAGCCCAUGAUGAGUUUUGGGGGGGUGGUCAUGUGAAGGCAUUUAAGAGAGUAUAUACUAUUUUACAGCGCAACAAAGAGGUCUCAGGACCAACUUACCAUUUUUCAAUUCAUUCGUUUAGUAAAACACAACAUAGUGAAAUAGUGCUGAUUGAUCAAGAAAGCUCAUAUGUUCGUGGCAAUUGUUCUACUUAUGAACAAAAAUGAUGUCUCUGCUAACAAGAACUAAUUCAAGCUGGAAAGGAUAAAUAAAUAUCGGAUGUCAGCUUUUACUAAUAGGGCACAGAUAUUUUAAUUUUUUCACUUCAUGCAUGCGUCAGGUUUAGGCAUAAUUUU